This 160-nucleotide ribosomal RNA is filed under the name Lasiodiplodia theobromae. Its description in RNAcentral is "5.8S ribosomal RNA". It matches the Rfam family "5.8S ribosomal RNA". Rfam says of the family: 5.8S ribosomal RNA (5.8S rRNA) is a component of the large subunit of the eukaryotic ribosome. The record is from RNAcentral. Lineage: Eukaryota; Fungi; Ascomycota; Dothideomycetes; Botryosphaeriales; Botryosphaeriaceae.
AAAACUUUCAACAACGGAUCUCUUGGUUCUGGCAUCGAUGAAGAACGCAGCGAAAUGCGAUAAGUAAUGUGAAUUGCACAAUUCAGUGAAUCAUCGAAUCUUUGAACGCACAUUGCGCCCCUUGGUAUUCCGGGGGGCAUGCCUGUUCGAGCGUCAUUAC